RNAcentral lists this transfer RNA (72 nucleotides) under Dicentrarchus labrax (European seabass). Its description in RNAcentral is "transfer RNA-Pseudo". Lineage: Eukaryota; Metazoa; Chordata; Actinopteri; Moronidae. The record is from RNAcentral.
UCAGUAGAAGUGUAGUGGUUAGGAUUCGGCGCUCUCACCGCUGAGGCCCAGGUUUGAUUCCCGAUCAAGGAA